CAUUUUUGGUCUAAUGGGAUCCAUUCAAGAUUUGUCAUAUGUCAUCCUUUCAUGGUCUAUUCAUGGAUCUUUGUUUGUUCCAAUUCAUUUCAAGUCAAUCUCAAGUCACGCAUGAUCAAGUUCAUUCAUUUCAAGUUUCAAUCCAUUUUCAAGUAAUGAUUCCAUUAAAAUUACAAGUCAUGUUCAAGUCAUGCAUGUUCAAGUUCAUUUAGUU
Molecule: long non-coding RNA, 214 nt
Filed under: Lathyrus oleraceus (garden pea)
Lineage: Eukaryota; Viridiplantae; Streptophyta; Magnoliopsida; Fabales; Fabaceae
Description: Pisum sativum (pea) long non-coding RNA (PSAT_LNC020659)
Source: RNAcentral